GCCCCAGUGGCGGCAAUGGAUAGCGCGUCGGACUUCUAAUCCGGAGGUUGAGGGUUCGAGUCCCUCCUGGGGUG
Molecule: non-coding RNA, 74 nt
Organism: Macrostomum lignano
Lineage: Eukaryota; Metazoa; Platyhelminthes; Macrostomidae
Source: Rfam